GACGAACGCUGGCGGCGUGCUUAACACAUGCAAGUCGAACGGAAAGGCCCUGCUUUUGUGGGGUGCUCGAGUGGCGAACGGGUGAGUAACACGUGAGUAACCUGCCCUUGACUUUGGGAUAACUUCAGGAAACUGGGGCUAAUACCGGAUAGGAGCUCCUGCUGCAUGGUGGGGGUUGGAAAGUUUCGGCGGUUGGGGAUGGACUCGCGGCUUAUCAGCUUGUUGGUGGGGUAGUGGCUUACCAAGGCUUUGACGGGUAGCCGGCCUGAGAGGGUGACCGGCCACAUUGGGACUGAGAUACGGCACAGACUGCUACGGGAGGCAGCAGUGGGGAAUAUUGCACAAUGGGCGGAAGCCUGAUGCAGCAACGCCGCGUGCGGGAUGACGGCCUUCGGGUUGUAAACCGCUUUCGCAUGUGACGAAGCGUGAGUGACGGUAAUGGGUAAAGAAGCACCGGCUAACUACGUG
Molecule: ribosomal RNA, 468 nt
Filed under: uncultured bacterium
Lineage: Bacteria
Description: partial 16S ribosomal RNA
Rfam family: Bacterial small subunit ribosomal RNA
Source: RNAcentral